Molecule: ribosomal RNA, 61 nt
Filed under: Agaricus bisporus (cultivated mushroom)
Lineage: Eukaryota; Fungi; Basidiomycota; Agaricomycetes; Agaricales; Agaricaceae
Description: partial 28S ribosomal RNA
Source: RNAcentral
UGACCUCAAAUCAGGUAGGACUACCCGCUGAACUUAAGCAUAUCAAUAAGCCGGAGGAAUC